AAGUUUCAACAACGGAUCUCUUGGCUCUCGCAUCGAUGAAGAACGCAGCGAAAUGCGAUAAGUAAUGUGAAUUGCAGAAUUCAGUGAAUCAUCGAAUCUUUGAACGCACCUUGCGCUCCUUGGUAUUCCUUGGAGCAUGCCUGUUUGAAUAUCAU
RNAcentral lists this ribosomal RNA (155 nucleotides) under Rhizoctonia solani. RNAcentral describes it as "5.8S ribosomal RNA". It matches the Rfam family "5.8S ribosomal RNA". Rfam says of the family: 5.8S ribosomal RNA (5.8S rRNA) is a component of the large subunit of the eukaryotic ribosome. It is transcribed by RNA polymerase I as part of the 45S precursor that also contains 18S and 28S rRNA. Lineage: Eukaryota; Fungi; Basidiomycota; Agaricomycetes; Cantharellales; Ceratobasidiaceae. The record is from RNAcentral.